ACUCCAGGGUAAGGAGUCUGGGCUCUGGGCUCAGAAGGCCUGGGUUCAAAUCCCAG
This 56-nucleotide transfer RNA is filed under the name Callithrix jacchus (white-tufted-ear marmoset). It matches the Rfam family "tRNA", at positions 9 to 63 of the family's 71-position model. Rfam says of the family: Transfer RNA (tRNA) molecules are approximately 80 nucleotides in length. Their secondary structure includes four short double-helical elements and three loops (D, anti-codon, and T loops). Lineage: Eukaryota; Metazoa; Chordata; Mammalia; Primates; Cebidae. The record is from Rfam by way of RNAcentral.